GGAGUUAGCCGGUGCUUCUUCUGUGAGUGAUGUCCUUCCUGCCGGCUAUUAACCCGCAGGCCUUCUUCCUCACUGAAAGUGCUUUACAACCCGAAGGCCUUCUUCACACACGCGGCAUGGCUGGAUCAGGGUUGCCCCCAUUGUCCAAUAUUCCCCACUGCUGCCUCCCGUAGGAGUCUGGGCCGUGUCUCAGUCCCAGUGUGGCUGAUCAUCCUCUCAGACCAGCUACGGAUCGUCUCCUUGGUGAGCCGUUACCUCACCAACCAGCUAAUCCGACAUAGGCUCAUCCGAUAGCGCGAGGCCCGAAGGUCCCCCGCUUUCCCCCGUAGGGCGUAUGCGGUAUUAGCCUGGGUUUCCCCAGGUUAUCCCCCACUACCGGGCAGAUUCCUAUGCAUUACUCACCCGUCCGCCGCUCGCCACCAGGGAGCAAGCUCCCCGUGCUGCCGCUCGACUUGCAUGUGUUAGGCCUGCCGCCAGCGUUCAAUCUGAGCANANACAACUCUGA
Molecule: ribosomal RNA, 505 nt
Filed under: uncultured bacterium
Lineage: Bacteria
Description: partial 16S ribosomal RNA
Source: RNAcentral